UAUUUUUAAACAUAUAGAUUAGAUAUUUUAUUUUUCAUACAACUUUGUAUUACAUACAACAAACCUAAGGUUUCAAGAUCUAAGAUUUUAUAGAAAAAUAAAUUCUUCCUUUCAUAUUUUUCUUUAUAGGAUUUAAUCAUAUGGCACCCCUACAUGCUAUAAGAGCACCCCAUCGAAUGAAAAGAAAGGGCCUUUAAACCCUUCUUAC
This 208-nucleotide long non-coding RNA is filed under the name Elaeis guineensis (African oil palm). Its description in RNAcentral is "long non-coding RNA (EGUI_LNC021544)". The record is from RNAcentral. Lineage: Eukaryota; Viridiplantae; Streptophyta; Magnoliopsida; Arecales; Arecaceae.